RNAcentral lists this ribosomal RNA (480 nucleotides) under uncultured bacterium. Its description in RNAcentral is "partial 16S ribosomal RNA". It matches the Rfam family "Bacterial small subunit ribosomal RNA", at positions 28 to 523 of the family's 1533-position model. The record is from RNAcentral.
GAUGAACGCUGGCGGCGUGCCUAACACAUGCAAGUCGAGCGAGUGAAUCUCCUUCGGGAGUGAGGCUAGCGGCGGACGGGUGAGUAACACGUGGGCGACCUGCCUCAUAGAAGGGAAUAGCCUUCCGAAAGGAAGAUUAAUACCGCAUAAGAUUGUAGCUUCGCAUGAAGUAGCAAUUAAAGGAGCAAUCCGCUAUGAGAUGGGCCCGCGGCGCAUUAGCUAGUUGGUGAGGUAACGGCUCACCAAGGCGACGAUGCGUAGCCGACCUGAGAGGGUGAUCGGCCACAUUGGGACUGAGACACGGCCCAGACUCCUACGGGAGGCAGCAGUGGGGAAUAUUGCACAAUGGGGGAAACCCUGAUGCAGCAACGCCGCGUGAGUGAUGACGGCCUUCGGGUUGUAAAGCUCUGUCUUCAGGGACGAUAAUGACGGUACCUGAGGAGGAAGCCACGGCUAACUACGUGCCAGCCGCCGCCGUAA